RNAcentral lists this small nucleolar RNA (106 nucleotides) under Carlito syrichta (Philippine tarsier). RNAcentral describes it as "Small nucleolar RNA SNORA40 (ENSTSYG00000037035.1)". It matches the Rfam family "Small nucleolar RNA SNORA40". Rfam says of the family: The snoRNA ACA 40 belongs to the H/ACA family of snoRNAs and guides the pseudouridylation of 28S rRNA subunit at position U4565. The record is from Rfam by way of RNAcentral. Lineage: Eukaryota; Metazoa; Chordata; Mammalia; Primates; Tarsiidae.
UGCAGAAUUUUAAAACAAGAUCCCCAGACUGCAAAAAAUAAAUUCUCUUUUGCAACCCAGAACUCAUUGUUCAGUAUGAGUUUUGAUAUAUAUAAGAAGGAUUAUU